CCGGGUAUUCAUGCGGCUCCGGGAGGGGGUGCAUCCCCCUCCCGGCAGCCCAUUGCCUUCACCCUUUGUAAACCUGUCCACCGUUGUUGGCGCAUGGGUGCGAGGGGCUCUCCCCGUUUUCGCGGGGGGCCCCAGGUGCCCGCCAGCCACGCAACCUCCAAAACUCUGCUUCAAACCUUGCGGUCUGAGCGAAUAUUUCGAAUAGCGAAA
Molecule: unclassified non-coding RNA, 210 nt
Filed under: uncultured Ascomycota
Lineage: Eukaryota; Fungi; Ascomycota
Description: sequence contains ITS1
Source: RNAcentral